UACGUAGGGUGCGAGCGUUAAUCGGAAUUACUGGGCGUAAAGCGUGCGCAGGCGGUUCGUUGUGUCGGCGGUGAAAGCCCCGGGCUUAACCUGGGAAUGGCCGUUGAAACUGGCGAACUGGAGUGUGGCAGAGGGGGGUGGAAUUCCGCGUGUAGCAGUGAAAUGCGUAGAGAUGCGGAGGAACACCGAUGGCGAAGGCAGCCCCCUGGGCUAACACUGACGCUCAGGCACGAAAGCCAGGGGAGCGAACGGG
RNAcentral lists this ribosomal RNA (253 nucleotides) under uncultured bacterium. Its description in RNAcentral is "partial 16S ribosomal RNA". It matches the Rfam family "Bacterial small subunit ribosomal RNA", at positions 524 to 776 of the family's 1533-position model. The record is from RNAcentral.